UGGGAUAUCGUGAUUUGGAUUCUUGGCAUGUGUAGGGAUUAAAACCGGUAGGAGGAUUUUUUAGGAUAUUUGAUGGGGGUUAGCUUUAUACAACCUAAUCCUCGGAUUGGGGCGCUUGGGGUUUGUCGUUGUCAAGAAUUACGAGUCAAGACUACGGCAAGUGAAUUUGUUUUCUAUACGCGUAAGGCUCGGAUGGUUGCACGAGAGGACAUGGGGUUUAUACUAGUUCGGGCAGGAAUAGCCCUACGUCCAGUGUGGGAAGCUGCUCGUAUUACUCGCGCAGAGUUUGCAAUAGGGGUUACAAAUAGGCGAGAGAGGGAAGCUGGUCCCAAGUCUCUAUGGGUGUGCACUGGUGCUCGUGAAGAGAGAGUGUGAGUUGGGUGAUGUUCGGUUGGCUUGAGAGCCCUCCCUCGCUCGGUCCCCCCGGUCCUCCUUUUAUAGCGUAAGGAAAAGACGGGAGUUACAAUCGAGCUAGGAAUCAGGAGAAGUAAAAGAGAUAAGCAAGUAAAGUAAAGUAAAGC
This 521-nucleotide long non-coding RNA is filed under the name Setaria viridis. Its description in RNAcentral is "long non-coding RNA (SVIR_LNC008958)". Lineage: Eukaryota; Viridiplantae; Streptophyta; Magnoliopsida; Poales; Poaceae. The record is from RNAcentral.